GGCGCCCGGCAGAGUCCCUCCGGGAGGGGUCAUCCUUUUCUCUUUCUGUCUCCUGUUACAAAACCAAACUCUCACCACCUCCUUCUCCAGCUGUAAGCUGUCCGCGAGGGAGGUGAUCUCCUGGGCCGAGGGCUUAGGGCAUUUGAGGAAAUGGCUCUCCAGAGCCCCCUUGACGCUCACCUCGAUGGAGGUCCGCUUUUUCCGUUUGCGCCCUUGCGCUGCGAUCUUGUCUAUGCUGGUGGGGCUGCCCGAGGAUGAGUCUGCCUCUUCCAACCACUUGUUCAACAAAGGCUUCAGCUUGCACAUGUUCUUGAAGCUCAGCUGCAGGGCCUCAAACCUGCAGAUGGUGGUCUGCGAGAACACGUUGCCGUACAGGGUGCCAAGCGCCAGCCCCACGUCUGCUUGAGUAAAUCCGAGUUUGAUCCGCC
RNAcentral lists this long non-coding RNA (428 nucleotides) under Mus musculus (house mouse). RNAcentral's name for it is "long non-coding RNA chr4:22486859-22487287". The record is from RNAcentral. Lineage: Eukaryota; Metazoa; Chordata; Mammalia; Rodentia; Muridae.